AGAGUUUGAUCCUGGCUCAGGACGAACGCUGGCGGCGCGCCUAACACAUGCAAGUCGAACGGAGCUUAGAGAGCUUGCUUUUUAAGCUUAGUGGCGAACGGGUGAGUAACGCGUGAGUAACCUGCCCUAGAGUGGGGGAUAACAGUUGGAAACGACUGCUAAUACCGCAUAAGCCCACGGUACCGCAUGGUACUGAGGGAAAAGGAUUUAUUCGCUUUAGGAUGGACUCGCGUCCAAUUAGCUAGUUGGUGAGGUAACGGCCCACCAAGGCGACGAUUGGUAGCCGGACUGAGAGGUUGAACGGCCACAUUGGGACUGAGACACGGCCCAGACUCCUACGGGAGGCAGCAGUGGGGGAUAUUGCACAAUGGGGGAAACCCUGAUGCAGCGACGCCGCGUGGAGGAAGAAGGUUUUCGGAUUGUAAACUCCUGUCGUUAGGGACGAUAAUGACGGUACCUAACAAGAAAGCACCGGCUAACUACGUGCCAGCAGCCGCGGUAAAACGUAGGGUGCAAGCGUUGUCCGGAAUACUGGGUGUAAAGGGAGCGCAGGCGGGAAGACAAGUUGGAAGUGAAAUGUAGACGCUCAACGUCCGCACUGCAGCGCGAACUGGUUUCCUUGAGUACGCACAAAGUGGGCGGAAUUCGUGGUGUAGCGGUGAAAUGCUUAGAUAUCACGAAGAACUCCGAUUGCGAAGGCAGCUCACUGGAGCGCAACUGACGCUGAAGCUCGAAAGUGCGGGUAUCGAACAGGAUUAGAUACCCUGGUAGUCCGCACGGUAAACGAUGGAUGCCCGCUGUUGGUCUGAACAGGUCAGCGGCCAAGCGAAAGCAUUAAGCAUCCCACCUGGGGAGUACGCCGGCAACGGUGAAACUCAAAGGAAUUGACGGGGGCCCGCACAAGCGGAGGAACAUGUGGUUUAAUUCGAUGAUACGCGAGGAACCUUACCCGGGCUUGAAUUGCAGAGGAAGGAUUUGGAGACAAUGACGCCCUUCGGGGUCUCUGUGAAGGUGCUGCAUGGUUGUCGUCAGCUCGUGCCGUGAGGUGUCGGCUUAAGUGCCAUAACGAGCGCAACCCCUCUCCUUAGUUGCCAUCAGGUUAAGCUGGGCACUCUGGGGACACUGCCACCGUAAGGUGUGAGGAAGGUGGGGAUGACGUCAAAUCAGCACGGCCCUUACGUCCGGGGCUACACACGUGUUACAAUGGCAGGUACAGAGAGACGGUUGUACGUAAGUACGAUCAAAUCCUUAAAGCCUGUCUCAGUUCGGACUGGGGUCUGCAACCCGACCCCACGAAGCUGGAUUCGCUAGUAAUCGCGCAUCAGCCAUGGCGCGGUGAAUACGUUCCCGGGCCUUGUACACACCGCCCGUCAAGCCAUGAAAGCCGGGGGCGCCUAAAGUCCGUGACCGUAAGGAGCGGCCUAGGGCGAAACUGGUAAUUGGGGCUAAGUCGUAACAAGGUA
This 1463-nucleotide ribosomal RNA is filed under the name metagenome. RNAcentral's name for it is "bacterial SSU rRNA". It matches the Rfam family "Bacterial small subunit ribosomal RNA". The record is from RNAcentral.